RNAcentral lists this ribosomal RNA (846 nucleotides) under Chloridium proliferatum. RNAcentral's name for it is "partial large subunit ribosomal RNA". It matches the Rfam family "Eukaryotic large subunit ribosomal RNA", at positions 65 to 943 of the family's 3401-position model. The record is from RNAcentral. Lineage: Eukaryota; Fungi; Ascomycota; Sordariomycetes; Chaetosphaeriales; Chaetosphaeriaceae.
CCAACAGGGAUUGCCCCAGUAACGGCGAGUGAAGCGGCAACAGCUCAAAUUUGAAAUCUGGCUCUCGGGCCCGAGUUGUAAUUUGCAGAGGAUGCUUCGGGCGCGGUGCCUUCCAAGUCCCCUGGAACGGGGCGCCGAAGAGGGUGAGAGCCCCGUACGGUUGGCGGCCAAGCCUGUGUGAAGCUCCUUCGACGAGUCGAGUAGUUUGGGAAUGCUGCUCUAAGCGGGAGGUAGACCCCUUCUAAAGCUAAAUAUUGGCCAGAGACCGAUAGCGCACAAGUAGAGUGAUCGAAAGAUGAAAAGCACUUUGAAAAGAGGGUUAAACAGCACGUGAAAUUGUUGAAAGGGAAGCGCUUGUGACCAGACGUGCGCCGGGGUGCUCAGCGGGCGUUCUCGCCCGUGCACUCGCCCCGGUGCAGGCCAGCGUCGGUUUGGGCGGGGGGAUAAAGGCGCCUGGAACGUAGCUCCCCCGGGAGUGUUAUAGCCAGGCGUGCCAUGCCUCCGCCCGGACCGAGGUACGCGUUCUGCAAGGACGCUGGCGUAAUGGUCCCCAGCGACCCGUCUUGAAACACGGACCAAGGAGUCGAGGUUUUGCGCGAGUGUUUGGGUGGAAAACCCGCACGCGUAAUGAAAGUGAACGCAGGUGGGAGCUUCGGCGCACCACCGACCGAUCCUGAUGUUCUCGGAUGGAUUUGAGUAAGAGCGUAGGGCCUCGGACCCGAAAGAUGGUGAACUAUGCUUGGAUAGGGUGAAGCCAGAGGAAACUCUGGUGGAGGCUCGCAGCGGUUCUGACGUGCAAAUCGAUCGUCAAAUCUGAGCAUGGGGGCGAAAGACUAAUCGAACCAU